Molecule: small nuclear RNA, 62 nt
Filed under: Cebus imitator (Panamanian white-faced capuchin)
Lineage: Eukaryota; Metazoa; Chordata; Mammalia; Primates; Cebidae
Description: U7 small nuclear RNA (ENSCCAG00000000733.1)
Rfam family: U7 small nuclear RNA
About the family: Animal histone pre-mRNAs are spliced by a different mechanism than nuclear pre-mRNAs and self-splicing introns. This processing involves the U7 snRNP, which contains only one RNA species: U7.
Source: RNAcentral
AAAUGCUACAGCUCUUUUAGAAUUUGUCUAGCAGGAUUUCCUAUCUUUACGGGAAACCCCUC